Molecule: long non-coding RNA, 1335 nt
Filed under: Androctonus crassicauda
Lineage: Eukaryota; Metazoa; Arthropoda; Arachnida; Scorpiones; Buthidae
Source: RNAcentral
GCAUAUUUUCUUAUACUUUCCUUCAAGAGAAAAUGAAGAGAAACUUAAUUUUAAUGGGCACUAAUUCAACUACAGUAUAUACAGUAAUAUUAUCUAUCAACAAUAUAUUCAUUACAUGAGAAAUUCGGCAUAUUGGCAGAGUAAAUUCCAUCAGUUUUCCAAUUAGUGGACCUGUGAUCGAUUUAUGAAUCAUCUUUUAAAUAAUUUAUAUGAAGAUUCCAUGCCGGCUCAUCGACUUCCUUCCUUUCGAAUUUAUUUUAAAUGGUUCAUCUUUCUUAACUAUAUAUUAUUAGAAAUUUUGAUAUCUGUUAAAGUUAACAUUUGUUUUGUUAGGUUAUGAUGUACUUUACCCCAUAUAAUUUAAAAAGUUUUUAAAAUAAAAUAAAAUUGUAAUUUUUUUGUCUUUUUAAUAUACCGUAAGAUAGGGCUACUUUGUGAAAAUCAAAAAGUUGUAUCUCACAGCGCGGUUCCUUACGAGGCAGAUUAAAUGAUUUUUCCAAUUGGCAGUUCUGUCCUGUCUAUGAUAUACUCUAGCAGCACACUUUGGUACAUCUUGUGUUUCGUUCAUUUUCCUGAACCACCUGUAUUUAGCUUUCUGUUAUGACUAAGUUUGUCAUAACUCUGCAAAUUAUAUCUGCACGGACUACUGUACAGGAACAGUGACGAAACAAGUAAAUUGGAAUAUGGUCCGUACCUACAAAAAAAAAAAAAAAGUGGGCAGUCGCCAUAUAAAAAUUACACCGAAAAGCACCUCCAAUGAUGCUUUGAAUGCCAUCAAAGCCAAAAUGAUGACACUACGAGAAGCUUCAGAGAGGUACGGCAUUCACAAAAAUACACUGUGGCUGAAAUCAAAGAGAAAGGCACAAAACACAAUCGGAGGUCAAAAAAUAUUUACUGACGAAGAAGAAAACAGUAUAGCAAUAUAUGCUAUUGCUGUCUGCAUAUGGAUUUCCUAUAACUAUUAUUGAUAUAAGGAGUAUUGCAUUAAAUGUUAUCUUGAUCGAAUUGGAAGAAAAAUAUAUUGUUUCAAAAAUAAUUUUCCUGGACGUGAUUGGGCUGCAUCAUUUAUGAAAAGACAUAACAAUAUAUUGUCUCAAUGUACUGCAAGCAGCAUCAACUAUUCAAGAGCUGCAACUGAUGAGGAAGUGGUUAAUAUGUAUUUUAAUCAUCUUGAAAAAGAAUUACAAGGUGUUCCUGCUUGCAACAUAUGGAAUGAUGAUGAGACUAAUUUGGUGGAUGACUUGGCAGCAAAAAAUCAUAACAAAAAAUAGGGGAAAACAGGGUGAAAUAAAUCAAUGUUUGCUGUUAAAAAAAAAAAUCAUAACAAAAAAUAGG